Molecule: microRNA precursor, 90 nt
Filed under: Glycine max (soybean)
Lineage: Eukaryota; Viridiplantae; Streptophyta; Magnoliopsida; Fabales; Fabaceae
Description: miR9763 stem-loop (gma-MIR9763)
Source: miRBase by way of RNAcentral
UCCAAACCCAUCCAACUCUGAAGAUAAUUUGGUUCAUAGUUAUCAAGAGAAACUGAACCAUAUUAUCUUUAGAGUUGGACUGGUUUGGGU